UUUUUCUAAUGUGUUAGGCUUGAACCAGUUACAUGAGGUGAUGGUUGAUGGUGGCGGAAGUGGUUUUGGGAGAGACUAUUUUAGCAAAGUGUUUUAUCAGGCUGAUGAGUCUAUGAUUGGUUAUCUACGCCUUCUUAAAUUCAUAACCCAAGUUUGUUGUGAUGUCUGUCAUCAUUCCAGUUGACUCUCACAGUGGUGAACUUUACAACAGCUGUCAGAAUGGGAACCAGAACAAUUACCUCAGUGAAAGCCAAAACAUUUUCAUUGUUCAACAAACCAAUGCAAAUCAUGUGAUGCUUGUUGAGAGUGCAUGUUCAUUCAGCAGACUGUUGGUAAAGGACCAAAAAACGAACACAAAGCAAGGAAGGAAGGCUUGAGAGCAGAGAUUUUCAUUAUUUCCACGCAUGGAAACUGAAAUGAUGACGAUCCUUGUGUAGAGAUCUAGAUGCUUUGUUCCCAAGGUGAUGUGAAAUGGUGGGAAGUGUUCCUUCACUCUACUAAACAAAUACUGCAUGGAUCUUCAGUAUCUUCAGUUAGUACUGGAACUGUGAUGACACUGGGGAAAUAUUCUACAAUCUUCACCAUGGUUAUGGUUGAAUAGGGAUUCCUACAUAGCAAUUGCUAUUGCAUUGUGUAAUGCCAGCAUGUAUGUUUUUCUAAGCAAGCGACAGUGUGUCAAGGUGGAAGCUGUGCAUCUGGACAGGAUAAGAGUGGUUGUAUUCCAAAGACUGUAAGCAUGAAAUCACCUGGCCUUGUGCGGAAGACAUCUAUGAAUCGACCAACCAGAUGUAUACCUCUAAUUUAAACUCCUGAAAGUCCCCAUGGUUGUGGGUGGUGCAGACAGAAUGUGAGCCAGGAAGUACAUCUGUAAAAGCCCAGACAUUCCAUAUGUAGGAGUACCUUCAUUCUUCAAGUCUGUACAAGAGAUCUUUGUGAGGAUGAUAGUGAAGAUAAUACAAGGAUUCAGCACACCAUAUCAGUCCAACUGAAGGACAAAGUAUCCAUUGAUGCAGUUGCAUCUUAGCUAAGAAGUUAACUUGGAUCUGCUUCACAGGGAGUCAUUGAUGAUCAACUAAGUAGUAGGAUACAGUUUUCUGAUCAGAUGAAAUCACUUUAUCUUAUCUGGCUGGAAUUUAAAGAGCUGAGACUACCAUCAGGAAAAUCUACCAUGUAGUAACACUAACCCAGAACAUUGCUACUGAGUCUACCACACAGUAAUGCUGACUAGAAAAUUGCUAUUGACUCUACCACACAGUAAUGCUGACUAGGAAAUUGCUAUUGAGUCUACCACACAGUAAUGCUGACUAGGAAAUGGCUAUUGAGUCUACCACACAGUAACACGAACCCAGAGCAUUGCUACUAUGUCUUCUAUACAGUAACGUUUAUUCAGAACAUUGCUACUGAGUCUACCACACAGUAAUGUGGACAAGGACAUUGCUGUUAUGAGUUUCCAUGCAGUAACACUUGACUGGAGUAGUCCACACAGGAAAAACACACAGUAACAUUGACUUAGGAUGUUGCUACAGAGUAUUCCACACUGUAAUACUGACCCCAAAGUGUAGCUUUUCUAUGGAAAAUUCAGACAGAUAACUGAAGUUACCUGUCAGUAGGGGCAAUAAAAUCUUUAUUAUCCGUUUAUGUUAACACUCCUGAUAUUGAAGGCUCAGGACUCUGCUGAACACUGGAAAAAAAGCGGAGAUAAACAUGCAACUCACUGUGUGUGACAUUAGCGCAAAUUUUUUUUAAAUGUGAUCAUGAUAUAUAGACAUUAAAAUUAUUUUAAGUAACAUUCAAGUAAUGGUCAAAGGUGGUAGUGAAAAGUCACUGAAUGUGACAUCAAAGUUUAGAUGACUGAAAAAGAAAGACAGUUAUACCUGCUGGUAAAAAUCUAUAAGAUUAGAUAUUAAAAUAAUGUUUAAAAAUGACAGUAGGUACAGUAAAAUGUGAAUGUGGUUUGAUUGGUAAUGUCAAAUAAUAAAGGGUAACUCAUUGUUCAA
Molecule: long non-coding RNA, 1997 nt
Organism: Mercenaria mercenaria
Lineage: Eukaryota; Metazoa; Mollusca; Bivalvia; Venerida; Veneridae
Exons: 9
Source: RefSeq, a predicted model, not a curated record